CCCAACUUAAGCUGGUUUAAGUGCGCCUAAUUGCUGUCGGAACAGCAAUUAUCCGAAACGCACCUAAAACAGCAUAAGUCCGGUAGUCCGUCGAGUGUCCCUAGGACUCCUCGAAGGAUCCACGACGUGUCUCAUAGCCAUACAUCAGGAUAAUAUCCGCGAUGGGAUAAUAUCAACAAAUAUUACAUUUUUAAAGACAUAACCAAGGUACGAUAUAUUACAACCAUAGUUUGAAACAACUUAAUCAUGAAGGUCAGUGUGGUUCUAAGAAUUUAAAACCAGUCUGGAAGAAAAACAAAUAUUUAAGUUUCAAUCUAGAGUAUCAUGAGACUCAUAAGAUACCCUAGGUCUUCGGGGCUUCCUCUUCGGUGAGUCCCUGCUGGUUUUCUGAAAACAACAACAAGGGAUCCCCUGAGUACGAAGUACUCAGCAAGUCUUACCCGACUAACCAAUAUAAUAGUUUUUCUUUGGAAUGCAUGUCGGCCUUUGGGUGUGCUUGGUUGACACAAUUUUGCCGAAAAAGCUUACUAUAAGUGAGGCCUUAGUUUUAUCUUUUAUUUGAGUUAAGUCAUUACCUAACCAUUCUAGAUGAUAACAGAAGUAAAAACAACCACAACGGUUAAGUCAUACAUUACUUGACAACAGGAGAUUUUAUAUUGCAUGAAUUGGUACUACGAUGCUCAACAGUGAUCAAGUGCAUUCAUAACCGAGAAUUGCGGCGAUCUGGAUCAAUUUACAUCCUGCAGGAGAGUACCCCGAUCACCAGCAAUAUACGACUGUUCCGGUCGUAUCUUACAACCUCUCGAUUAGCAAAGUCAAUGAUUAGGAAUACAACUACCCGGACCUAGGGAUGCACCCCCACAUGGGACCCCACGUCUGGCCUGAUCUCCAUGUGAGUUUCAGGCUACACCCCUGCCAAUCUCCAGCACGUCAAAUGCGGGUACGAAGCAUUCCUGAUCAUAGAAUUUACUAAUCUACUGGGCUUUACUGGUCCCAUACCCAGUAAGUGAUCAGAUGUUAUCACUUGAUCAGCGGUUAAGACAACGAUCGGGCCUUAACCAGAUUAAUCUAGCAGACAGAACUACAUCUCUAGCUUCUGUCCGUUUUCAUAUUCCAGACUAUCCUCCAUAAGCAACAUGUAUGACUUAAGAGUUUUCCUUAUGGUUGGUAAACCAAGCAUGUAAGCAAGUAAGCAAUUCUAGACUUGGGUUGUCUUCUAAGGUUUGAACAAGUGGCAAAGAUGUCCUUAAACAAGGUAUGAUUAUACACAAGAAUAGGUUUCAUUCAACUCCUAGACUUAGUGCAUACAAUAAACAAUUAACCUAUAACUAGUCACAUGAAAUAAUGACUCCAAAAUAGAUAGGUAUAAAUGCACCGGGGCUUGCCUGGGAUCAACAAAGGUUAGUUCUUCGGAAAACUUCUUUAUUAAAAGAGGCACUCCACACUUCGCGAAUGUUGUCCCUCUCCAGCUGAAUUCCAUGAAUUCCCACUCCAGGAGUUGUGACGUCUACGAUUCAGUAUAUGCAAGAGUUAGAGAUGCAAAUUUUUGAAUACAAGACUAUACAACUUUCCUUCAUGAUAAAGUUGCAAGCCAACAAGGACUAUACAAUUUAUCAUGAUAAAGUUGCAAGCCAACACACAAAAACCCUAAAGAUUAGCCCACCAUUUUUAUUUCCUUUACUAAACCUACCUUAGACCUCUUCUUUUAUUUUUAAAAGUAUUAUAAUAAUUUUCUAAUCUCAAAAACCUAAUUCCUAUGAAUUAAUAAUAAUUUGUGGAUAAUAAAGCAUUUUCAAGUUUUAUACAUUUAAUAAAGUUUAAGCAUUUAUUUAAAUACCUUAGGUAAAAAGGCAUUAAAUAAAUACCUAAAUUUUUAUUAUUUUUCCUAGGGUUUAAGAAUUUUAAUGCAUAAAGGAAAAUAAAACAAUCCUAAUAAAAUUGGUUUCACUAAUUUUGGACACUUCUAGAAUUUCCUGUGAAUUAAAUGGUGAAAACCCUAUUUAAUCUAUUUAUCUAGUAAAAGAAAACCUAAAGUUUAAAUAAAACCCCCGGCCCAAACUUUCCUCACCUAACCUUCUUCUACCCACUAUCACUUCCACCUAGGGCCCAUCCGGUCUCCUAUUUCUUCCCUCCUUUCUUCACUGAUGAGUGGGGCCCACGGCCAAAAUCUCCCCUUGGGCCGAAAAGUGGCCCGCCAACUUUUAACCCGUGACGCGUGGGCCUCUAAACGGCAGCUCCCUUUUUGGGCCGGUUCCCUUUUCUCUUCUCUUUCUCAAUUCCGGCCGGCCCACCUUUUUCUUUCGUCUUUAAUUCCUCUUGGGCCGCAUGGUUCAUUUCUUUCUCAAGCGACAAAACGGCCCAUCGGCUCUCUUUUUCUUUCUUUUACCGCUCGCGGGCCAGCUAGGCCGAUUUCUUUCUUUGGCCCAAGACGGUUGACCGGCCCCCUUAUCCUUCUUGCGCCUGCCUCCCUCUCCUUUUAUGCCGCGCGGCCAGCUGGGCCGGCGCCUCUCUUUCGGCCCAAAAUGGCUGCCUGGCCUUCUCCUUCUCUCUCGCCCCACCUGGGCCUCCCCCACCGAGAAUUGGACUCCUGGCCCAAGUUCAUCAACCGUCCUGUCUCCUCCUCCCCUUGGCCCACGACGGACGGCGGCCCCUCUUUUCUUUCUCCCUUUUCUUCUAUGCCGCGCGGGCUUUAGCUAGGCCGCGCCUUUCCCUCGGCCCAUGUCGCACGGCUGGCCUGUCUUCCUCCCCCUGGUGUAUCUUCUUCCUCCCUGCGCUAGAACAGGGGUGCACGCCGGCGGGGCAAAACGGGACGGGGCCCUGGCCACGGCGGCUCGCCGGCGGCUGAGAGGGACGGGGUGGCGGCGCCCCAGGUCAGGCGCACCCGCGCCCACCGUCAGCUCGCCGGGAGGCGGCCCGAGCCGGCCCCUCCACGGGCGGCUGCGGCUUGGCCAACCGCCGGCCAUGGCGGCGCAUGGAGACGGCGCAAGCAGCUCUCUAGACUACCCCAACAGCUCCCACACCUUCGCAGGACGCCCCUAAGCACGUUAAUUGAGAAGAAUCAGUCGAUUUAGAAGCUCACCUUGUGGAUUGGGUGACGGUGGCCGGCGGACAGUAACGGCGGCGAUUCGAAGCUUGCCGGCAGGGAGACGAGCAAUGGUUAAGCUUGGGCGUCGUGGUGGGGCUAGUGGAGCUACUGGCUGGCGGUGACGCGAAGGGCAACAGCGGCAUGGGUGUUGGCCGGCGCUGGCGCUAGCUCGCUCGAGCUCUGUGUUCAUCACGGUAAAAUCCAACGGGAUAAACGGAUAGGCACAGAAGCUUGAUUUAUCCAAGUUGGUACCGUUUGCAUGCCAUCCACCUCGACAACCUGAACGAGCGUGGACGUGGCCGUCGUGCUGGCCGGUCGUGCGCAAGAGCCGGCGGCAGCACGGCACUGCUCUGUUCUGAUCUUUCUGUUCUUAUCUCCUCCUUUCAAAGCGAUCUGUUCAACCCUUCAUUUCUCAAGAUAUUCUAUCUCAACUCGUAGAACUCCUUUAAGCAAACUUGUAGAUUAAUCCGAGCACUACAUUUGAUGGAUUGGCCUCCAACCGAAUUAAGCACCCUAAGGUCGAGAUUUCGGAGCUCCAAGCUCCUGUCACUUUACUGUCAACUGAAUUUUCGGAUUCAGUUUCGACAGUCUUCCAAUGUGGUCGUUUACCCUUCUUUGGCACAAGUUUCAGUAGCCCAAUUGUAUUCCACAUAGGCCAAUCACUCCCUAUUGUGUUCUACAACUAAUAANNNNNNNNNNNNNNNNNNNNNNNNNNNNNNNNNNNNNNNNNNNNNNNNNNNNNNNNNNNNNNNNNNNNNNNNNNNNNNNNNNNNNNNNNNNNNNNNNNNNGAAACCAUAUAGCCUUUGCACUGGAUUUCUGAAAAUGCUCCAAACAUUGCUAGUUAACACUGUUUCAGACUUAGAAUUUACGCAGCUCGAGAGUUGGCCGAAAUAGCUAGAGUGCUGACUUUGAGUUCUGAUUUAAAUUUGAUUCUUUCGCUAUCUCUGAGCAACAACACCUUAUUAAACAUGUCCAAGGAUCAUACUUCACCGCUGUCUAGUUGCCUUUGCUCACUUACUUGAAAAAUUGGGCAGAAUUCGGUUUCAAAAAUAGAUACUCAUCCUGUUUUCCAGACUUAGAAUUAAUUCGGCAAGGAGCUCGAAAUCUGCUCAAUUGCUGACUUUUGGCUCCAAUUUGAAUUCAAACCUUCCACUUUCUCUGGACAACAACUAUUCAUUUACCUUCUCCAUAGUCCAUAUUACACGAAUGUCCAAAAACAUCUGCUCACUCUUAAGGAAAUUUCUCCAGAAAUUGGUUCUAAAGUCAUGUACUCAAUGUCAUUUUCAGACUUAACCAAAUUCCAGCAAAGUCGCCUAUUGUGACAAAGUGCCAACUUUAGGCCUCUAUUUAAAAUGAUUCCCUCCACUAUUCCUGAUCAACAAUACCUAGAUUUAGGAGUCCAAGGUUCAUACUUCAACAUGGUAUAGUUGUCCUGAUUUACUUAUUUGAGAAAUUUGUCAGAACUCAAUUUCCAAAAUGGACUCUGAGCUGUUUUUCUGAUUUCUUGUUUUCGGACGGUGAAUAGUAAACGUUGCUUUUCAUUUCCUUCUCUGAUUUCUUUUGAGUGUUUAGGAUCAAAUACUAUUCCAAAUUGUUGACCCUUAAGUUCAAAUCAUCUUUACACUGCUAUUCCAUAUUUUUGCCGAAUUUUUCUGAAUUUCAAAUUAAAAAUUCAAAUUUCGGCCAAAUUUGACCCGAAUUUGAUUUUCGGUCAAUUCCUUUUUCUUUUCUUCUCGAUUUGCUUCCAACUCUUCAAAGUCACUUUGAUGACUAAAAAUGGCGGGUGUUACAGCCCCUCCCCCUUAACAGAAUCUCGUCCCGAGAUUCCUGGGGUUAAAUCCUCCGUUUUUGAGAAUGGAAAGGAAACUGCCUCAGGUUAACUAUUUCUUCUUUUUCUGUACAAGGAUAGUGCGGGUGGUGGCUCUUUAUUCAUCUGUUCCUGACGAUCCCAAUUAAUUUCUGGAUAUUUAGACUCUAGGUCUUCAGCCUAUCCCAAGUAGCUUUAUCUGGAGCAUAAUUCUCUCAUGGUAUCUUGUAGAAUCUGAUACUCUUAGUUCGAGUAUUGAUAGUCUUCCGAUCCCAAAUUUUCAUACGGACCAAUAUAAUUCGGAGCAAAUUUUUCCUUUGACUCCAAAUCGAUGUACUCCUUUCAUUGGGGAUAUUCCGAAAUGCACAAAGUCUCAAAAUAAAAUUUCAAGGAUCCUUUUCUUUUAUCCGAAUAACUUUUCUCUCAUGACUAAGUUAUUUCAAGGUUCGUACAAUUUUUCUGAACUUUCUCCUUAACUUUAAUUGAUUAGAUCCGGUUCCAAAGGUACUCUUUCUCUUGAUUUUGACUGAAUUAAAAGCAAUCAUUCUUUCCAUUUCUGCUAGAGGCAACCAUUCAUCCCAUUUCUUCAAGAAGGUAAGAGCACAGGCUCGAAGCAUAUCUUUUUCUGUCUAACCAAGCAUCCUUUGCUCUUGACAAGGGUAGUUCCCAUUGUCUCAUGCGUUUAUUCCUAGAAUCCAAAGAUGAAUUGAGAACCUUAAUUAAAGAUAAUUGUUUUGGGUAUUCCAUGUAACAAUACUACCUGAGACAUAUAAAUCCCCAUGUGAGCUGACAUACGGUAAGCGGUCCUGAUAGGAAUGAAAUGAGCUGACUUAACGAGUUGAGCUACUAUAACUCAUAUGAAAUUAUACCCCCUUGUGGUAGUAGGAAAUCCUACUGUAAAAUCCAGGGAAUGUCUUCCUACUUCCAUUUAGGAAUGGUGAAGGGUUGCAAUAAGUCGGCCGAUUUCUGGUACAUAGCUUUCACCUUUUGACACGUAUCACAUUCAGAUACAUACUUGGCUAUUUUCUUUUUCACUCUUGUCCACCAAAAUCAUUGCUUCAUCUAAGAUGAUCUUUCUCAAGCCCUAUCUUCUUGAGUACUAUUAUUCAGUUUUUGAAAUAGCACACCCUCUUUUCAUCCUGGUAAAACAAAUAACAUCACUUUAGCUUACUCAUUUCUGAAGUAUUCUUAUUCCUUUGUCCUUUUUCUGAGCUCGUUUUACCUUUUUCUUUAAGGUAUCGUGCAGGAUACGGUUAUGCAGGGUACAUUAGUUUUGUUCAGAUGAUACAAUCUCUAGUUUAUAGUCUUGGAUUAGUUUCAGCCAUCUUAUGCCUCAUAUUAAGAUCUGACUUCGAUAGCAUCCAGCCAUUUUAAGAAAACUUCUUACUUCAUGAAUAGUUAUUGGCGACUUAUGUCCUUGACCCCUUUUUUUUUUCCAGGAUCCACUUUAAUUCCUUUCUCGGACCAAACACGCCUAAUGAACGGAACCUUCUUUAGCCAAAACUCACAUUUACUAAACUUAGCAUAUAGUCAAUGUUCUAGAAGCUAUCCAAAUCAAUGUGCAAAUGCUCCGCAUAUUCUCCUUUAUUCUUGUUCGUCAAAACCUUUGCUUUAACGCUUGACACACCUUACUAUUCUCAGGAUCCCAUGUAAACUCGACCUUUUUAGAAACUUGUUAAUAUUCAUGUAAUGCUCACGUCCCUUCCUUGUAGUUAAGGAACUUCUUUCGAAUAGACUUUUGACCCGAUCCUUGGCGUGAAAUCUGAGCUUUCUCAUUCAUAUUUUCCCUUUUCUUUCGAAAAUGGAGAUCUCCGGCGAAACUAGUCCUUCCAUAGUUAUGUUAUAAUACGGCUGUAGAAUUGCAAAGAUAGUGGUGCUUUAACCCUUCAAGUACUCAUGGGUUUGUCGAACAUGGAGUAUUAUCUAGGUUUUGGAUAACCUAUGAAUGAUAUGACAAUUGUGGUUGGGGCCUAUAAGUAGAUCUAGCAGGUUCUUAGUAGACAACUUUAAGCUCCUGAGGAAUACUUUCAGAGGCCUCGAAAGAAUUGUCCUCCCAUUCCAAGGAUUCCUCCCUUCCAAGGGGCUUGUUCAUAGCUUUCAUCUUCUCUGGGAAUUAUGAUGUUUAUAGCAGAGCUAUAAUCUGUAAAAUUACUGGGAAACAAUUCCUUUUCUUAGACUUAGUGUUCAUAUAUUUGGGAGCAUAUUGUGCCAGAUGGUUGAAUGCACUUAGAUACUUCCAAACACUCUUGUGUCCCUGCUAAACCUUCUAGAAGUUGUUCCAGCUGCAUUCUUAUAAUCCUUUUUAGCAGAAACUAGGUACAAAUAAUUAUCUUGAAAUCUUCCCAAGCUAUCUUCUUUCUGACGGAUUGCCUAGCCAGAUCGCUAGUCCAUCACGUGCCUGCGGAACCUUGGAGUUAAUGUCCUGCGAACUCAAUUUUUUUGAGUUCCCGUAUAUCGAAGAAUCACACAUGUAUCCAUAUAAUGUUUGGAUUUACGUGUAAUUCUGCAACAAUUUGUCUCAUGUUCAUACAGUGAUUAGAGGCUGACAUGUGUAAGAAAAUGCCACUCUUAAUAGCUUUAACAAGCAUGAGUAGACUGCAUUAUCUUCUUCCAAAUCUGUUUCAGAAAAUUCCUGGCAUUCUUUUGAACAUCAAAGAUAUGAAGUAUCUGGUCUGGCAAAUUCUUUUUGAUGAAGAUUAUAAUGCUAACUCCAUUGCAGAACACAGGAUCUGCUAGCUUUUUCCCUGUUAGUGUCUCAGCUAGCAAUACUCCAAAACUGUACACAUCUCCUCAGAGCUUUACAUUCUGACAUAAAACUCCCAUCGGUGCCUUAUAUGUUUGUAUCAAAAACCUUCGCAGCCAACAACUCGGUUUACCUGGAUUAGCUUUCCUCCGUAUACUGAACCAUAGCUUCUUUUCCUAAUCAAAGACUCCGUGAAAUUCUCAGUGACCUGAACUCAAUCCUUUGUAGAAAGUUUUACAGAAGUCCUUACUAGAAGAAACCAACGGUGAUUGCAUUAUGAAGGACUUUCUCUAUUGAAGUAUAAGGCAUCACGAUAAUAUGAAUAGUGCCAUAAAACCAACAAUGGGGAUACAUAUUUUACCCAAAACUUUUAAUCUUGCUGUAUGCAAAGAAACAACAUCGCAUGCGGGUAUAUGCAGCUCAAAUAUUCCGCCGCAAAGACCCUGAUUGCCAUCGAGUGCAAUAGUUGUAAUCUUUUUGAAUCACUCGGUACUCUUCCCAUGAGAUGACUGCGGGGCGAAUUUAACGGACUGAGAGCUUGUAGAUCACAUAGAGCAACUGGGAUAGUAUCUAUCCAAUUGUUGUGUGAAAGGUUAAGAAUAGUGUCUUCUCAAAAGUUGGUGGUUUUGAUAUUGCUUCAAUUCCCAACAACCACGUUAAUUUCCUGUAUUUUAAAUGUCCCUGCUCAGCAGUCUAGCCUGCUUAGUUCUUGAAUUCAUAAGACUAGCAAUAGCAUUAACCAAGGUAAGAAUUUAUGGUGGCUCUACAUCACGAGUUCUGACCCGGAUUAAAUGUGUCUUCCUGGGUUCAGCAUUCUGGGGUCACAAAAAUCCAACAGACCGAAACUCAUUAAACUUCCUCUUGUUCCUUUAAUAUCCUUAUUUCCUGCAUCUCGCAAACCUUGGUAUAUAUUUCUUAAAAACAACCCCCCUCAACAUUGUCCUUAGCUAAACAGUUGAUCGAACUUCCUACGACUCCUUCCAAAUUCUUUUCCAUUUUCACACUAAGACUGUCCAGGUUCUCGUAAGCAUGCAGAUCUACCUUUUUAAGAUGUCAAUUCAAUCAUACUCAUGUGGUUACCCAUAAUAUCCUUCCUUCCUUUCACUACUACCGGGACGAACAGAUGUUGCCUUUGCUUUCAUGAUUUUCUGAUAUAUCUUUGAGGCAUCCGGAUCAAUAGAUUCCUGGGCUUGUGUCAAUUGGCCUCAUAUUCAUCCAAUUUCUUUAACUGCUUUUCUCAUAACUUUUCCCAUAUUACGAUCUCAUGCAAGAACUGCUUUCUUACUUAUAUCGAAAUCAUAUGGAGUAUCUUUUUCCCUCAUCUUUGAACCUUCAUUCCUUUCUCUUUAAUAAUAUUACUGGAAUAGACAUCUUGAUGAAGAGUAUACAUUGAAGUCUUUUAAUCUCAUGAAGCGACUGUAGUAACGUCGUGCUCCAUUUGAGAAAAUCCUUUAAACCUUUAUACAAUGCUUCCAAUACUAUGGUCCUGAUUUCUGAUCCCAUAACUCUGGUCAGACUGGGUCCAAUUUAUUCCUUAUUCUUCUUACACCAGACAGUUUAAGUUGUCCUAAUUGCUUAUCCAAGUAAGGUUUGGUGUCCAUCCGUCUGUCUUGAUCUUCUCUUCUGCAGUUCUCUGUUGCAUCGACCCCCUUACUACGUCUAGCUCCUAUUACACGGGACGGGUUUAGGUCUAACGGCACUCUUCAAACCCAAAAAUUUUGCAACAUGCAAUGCAAACAUGAUGCAACGAUUCCUACGUACUUUCAGACUCAUAUACACACUCGUAGAAAAAUUGGUGGCAUCGUAAUCUCUCCCUAAAUAAUAGACUACCGAAUACUAGCGACAUGCAACAAACAAUUAGCAUCUGCAAAAUAAACAACCAGUUAACACUACUGCCACCUGUGACUCUUGUUUUUAUUAUUUAAAAUAGAGUCUCAAUUUUUAAAUAGUAAUAUCUGUUGAUUAUCCCAACCUACGGCUCUGAUACCAGCUGUGGCGGAACCGCCCAACUUAAGCUAGUUUAAGUGCGCCUAAUUGCUGUCGGAACAGCAAUUAUCCGAAACGCACCUAAAACAGCAUAAGUCCGGUAGUCCGUCGAGUGUCCCUAGGACUCCUCGAAGGAUCCACGACGUGUCUCAUAGCCAUACAUCAGGAUAAUAUCCGCGAUGGGAUAAUAUCAACAAAUAUUACAUUUUUAAAGACAUAACCAAGGUACGAUAUAUUACAACCAUAGUUUGAAACAACUUAAUCAUGCAGGUCAGUGUGGUUCUAAGAAUUUAAAACCAGUCUGGAAGAAAAACAAAUAUUUAAGUUUCAAUCUAGAGUAUCAUGAGACUCAUAAGAUACCCUAGGUCUUCGGGGCUUCCUCUUCGGUGAGUCCCUGCUGGUUUUCUGAAAACAACAACAAGGGAUCCCCUGAGUACGAAGUACUCAGCAAGUCUUACCCGACUAACCAAUAUAAUAGUUUUUCUUUGGAAUGCAUGUCGGCCUUUGGGUGUGCUUGGUUGACACAAUUUUGCCGAAAAAGCUUACUAUAAGUGAGGCCUUAGUUUUAUCUUUUAUUUGAGUUAAGUCAUUACCUAACCAUUCUAGAUGAUAACAGA
RNAcentral lists this long non-coding RNA (10239 nucleotides) under Setaria italica (foxtail millet). Its description in RNAcentral is "long non-coding RNA (SITA_LNC007496)". Lineage: Eukaryota; Viridiplantae; Streptophyta; Magnoliopsida; Poales; Poaceae. The record is from RNAcentral.